AACUCCAUCACAAUGGUGAAUUUAUCUACCUCCUAGUAGAUAAAAGGAAGAAAAUGCUUCAGAAGGUAACAUUCAGAUGGUGUGCGGAAUCCUUAGAUGAAAACCUGUCCCUCUCCCACAACAAAUUGACGAAGGAAAAAGGUAUCCUCAUGAUAUCAAGGCUACAAGAAGACUUCCACGAAAUAAAAAUCUGAUACUAUAGUCGGAAACGUUUUCAUCAAAUGGGGAUUUUCCCCAGCAUUAUCACGAAAUUACGACCCCAAUAAGACGACCUCUGUACUUCAAGCGGGGAGAUAUUUGACCCGAAAUUUCUCCGGUGAUGUGUGCAUACAGCUA
Molecule: long non-coding RNA, 336 nt
Filed under: Spirodela polyrhiza (greater duckweed)
Lineage: Eukaryota; Viridiplantae; Streptophyta; Magnoliopsida; Alismatales; Araceae
Description: long non-coding RNA (SPOL_LNC002513)
Source: RNAcentral